GAUACGUCUAUGGUGUGUGUGUGUUUGUGUGUGUGUGUGUGUGUGUGUAUACACACACACACACACACGCAUACACACACACAUAUAAAAUA
Molecule: non-coding RNA, 92 nt
Organism: Podarcis lilfordi (Lilford's wall lizard)
Lineage: Eukaryota; Metazoa; Chordata; Lepidosauria; Squamata; Lacertidae
Source: the annotation of a GenBank genome assembly